RNAcentral lists this long non-coding RNA (344 nucleotides) under Daucus carota (carrot). RNAcentral describes it as "long non-coding RNA (DCAR_LNC000798)". Lineage: Eukaryota; Viridiplantae; Streptophyta; Magnoliopsida; Apiales; Apiaceae. The record is from RNAcentral.
UUUAGCAUCUCUCCCUAACCCAACUCUCUCCCAUCUCUCUCUCCCUCUCUCGUCUCUCUCCCACCUCUCUCUCUCUCUCUCGUCUCUCUCCCUAUAUAUCUCUCUCUUUCCUGUCUCUGAUUCACUGCUACAUUUAUCUCACCUAUACACACAUCUCUCUCUCCCUCAUCUCUCUCUCUCUCUCGUCUCUUUCCCUAUAUAUAUUUCUCUCAUAUCUCUCUGAUUCACUGCUACAUUUAUCUCACCUAUACACACACUCUCCCUGUAUCUAUCUAUCUACACCUCCUCGUUGUUCCCUAUGUCAUCCAUUCUCACACACAUUAAACCACACUCAAACCCUAACU